Molecule: ribosomal RNA, 2521 nt
Filed under: Staphylococcus aureus VE07/03048STA
Lineage: Bacteria; Bacillati; Bacillota; Bacilli; Caryophanales; Staphylococcaceae
Description: bacterial LSU rRNA
Rfam family: Bacterial large subunit ribosomal RNA
Source: RNAcentral
UUAAGUUAUUAAGGGCGCACGGUGGAUGCCUUGGCACUAGAAGCCGAUGAAGGACGUUACUAACGACGAUAUGCUUUGGGGAGCUGUAAGUAAGCUUUGAUCCAGAGAUUUCCGAAUGGGGAAACCCAGCAUGAGUUAUGUCAUGUUAUCGAUAUGUGAAUACAUAGCAUAUCAGAAGGCACACCCGGAGAACUGAAACAUCUUAGUACCCGGAGGAAGAGAAAGAAAAUUCGAUUCCCUUAGUAGCGGCGAGCGAAACGGGAAGAGCCCAAACCAACAAGCUUGCUUGUUGGGGUUGUAGGACACUCUAUACGGAGUUACAAAGGACGACAUUAGACGAAUCAUCUGGAAAGAUGAAUCAAAGAAGGUAAUAAUCCUGUAGUCGAAAAUGUUGUCUCUCUUGAGUGGAUCCUGAGUACGACGGAGCACGUGAAAUUCCGUUGGAAUCUGGGAGGACCAUCUCCUAAGGCUAAAUACUCUCUAGUGACCGAUAGUGAACCAGUACCGUGAGGGAAAGGUGAAAAGCACCCCGGAAGGGGAGUGAAAUAGAACCUGAAACCGUGUGCUUACAAGUAGUCAGAGCCCGUUAAUGGGUGAUGGCGUGCCUUUUGUAGAAUGAACCGGCGAGUUACGAUUUGAUGCAAGGUUAAGCAGUAAAUGUGGAGCCGUAGCGAAAGCGAGUCUGAAUAGGGCGUUUAGUAUUUGGUCGUAGACCCGAAACCAGGUGAUCUACCCUUGGUCAGGUUGAAGUUCAGGUAACACUGAAUGGAGGACCGAACCGACUUACGUUGAAAAGUGAGCGGAUGAACUGAGGGUAGCGGAGAAAUUCCAAUCGAACCUGGAGAUAGCUGGUUCUCUCCGAAAUAGCUUUAGGGCUAGCCUCAAGUGAUGAUUAUUGGAGGUAGAGCACUGUUUGGACGAGGGGCCCCUCUCGGGUUACCGAAUUCAGACAAACUCCGAAUGCCAAUUAAUUUAACUUGGGAGUCAGAACAUGGGUGAUAAGGUCCGUGUUCGAAAGGGAAACAGCCCAGACCACCAGCUAAGGUCCCAAAAUAUAUGUUAAGUGGAAAAGGAUGUGGCGUUGCCCAGACAACUAGGAUGUUGGCUUAGAAGCAGCCAUCAUUUAAAGAGUGCGUAAUAGCUCACUAGUCGAGUGACACUGCGCCGAAAAUGUACCGGGGCUAAACAUAUUACCGAAGCUGUGGAUUGUCCUUUGGACAAUGGUAGGAGAGCGUUCUAAGGGCGUUGAAGCAUGAUCGUAAGGACAUGUGGAGCGCUUAGAAGUGAGAAUGCCGGUGUGAGUAGCGAAAGACGGGUGAGAAUCCCGUCCACCGAUUGACUAAGGUUUCCAGAGGAAGGCUCGUCCGCUCUGGGUUAGUCGGGUCCUAAGCUGAGGCCGACAGGCGUAGGCGAUGGAUAACAGGUUGAUAUUCCUGUACCACCUAUAAUCGUUUUAAUCGAUGGGGGGACGCAGUAGGAUAGGCGAAGCGUGCGAUUGGAUUGCACGUCUAAGCAGUAAGGCUGAGUAUUAGGCAAAUCCGGUACUCAUUAAGGCUGAGCUGUGAUGGGGAGAAGACAUUGUGUCUUCGAGUCGUUGAUUUCACACUGCCGAGAAAAGCCUCUAGAUAGAAAAUAGGUGCCCGUACCGCAAACCGACACAGGUAGUCAAGAUGAGAAUUCUAAGGUGAGCGAGCGAACUCUCGUUAAGGAACUCGGCAAAAUGACCCCGUAACUUCGGGAGAAGGGGUGCUCUUUAGGGUUAACGCCCAGAAGAGCCGCAGUGAAUAGGCCCAAGCGACUGUUUAUCAAAAACACAGGUCUCUGCUAAACCGUAAGGUGAUGUAUAGGGGCUGACGCCUGCCCGGUGCUGGAAGGUUAAGAGGAGUGGUUAGCUUCUGCGAAGCUACGAAUCGAAGCCCCAGUAAACGGCGGCCGUAACUAUAACGGUCCUAAGGUAGCGAAAUUCCUUGUCGGGUAAGUUCCGACCCGCACGAAAGGCGUAACGAUUUGGGCACUGUCUCAACGAGAGACUCGGUGAAAUCAUAGUACCUGUGAAGAUGCAGGUUACCCGCGACAGGACGGAAAGACCCCGUGGAGCUUUACUGUAGCCUGAUAUUGAAAUUCGGCACAGCUUGUACAGGAUAGGUAGGAGCCUUUGAAACGUGAGCGCUAGCUUACGUGGAGGCGCUGGUGGGAUACUACCCUAGCUGUGUUGGCUUUCUAACCCGCACCACUUAUCGUGGUGGGAGACAGUGUCAGGCGGGCAGUUUGACUGGGGCGGUCGCCUCCUAAAAGGUAACGGAGGCGCUCAAAGGUUCCCUCAGAAUGGUUGGAAAUCAUUCAUAGAGUGUAAAGGCAUAAGGGAGCUUGACUGCGAGACCUACAAGUCGAGCAGGGUCGAAAGACGGACUUAGUGAUCCGGUGGCUCCGCAUGGAAGGGCCAUCGCUCAACGGAUAAAAGCUACCCCGGGGAUAACAGGCUUAUCUCCCCCAAGAGUUCACAUCGACGGGGAGGUUUGGC